This 464-nucleotide ribosomal RNA is filed under the name uncultured bacterium. RNAcentral describes it as "bacterial SSU rRNA". It matches the Rfam family "Bacterial small subunit ribosomal RNA", at positions 29 to 506 of the family's 1533-position model. The record is from RNAcentral.
ACGAACGUUGGCGGUGUGCCUAAUACAUGCAAGUCGAGCGAGAAAGCCGGGGCAACUCGGCGAGUACAGCGGCGGAAGGGUGCGUAAUACAUGGUUAACGUACCCCCCAGUUCGGGAUAACUGUCCGAAAGGUCAGCUAAUACCGGGUAAUGGCAACGGGUGGCAUCAUCUGUUGCUUAAAGCCGUAAGGCGCUGGGGGAGCGGACCAUGGCCUAUCAGCUAGUUGGCGGGGUAACGGCCCACCAAGGCAAUGACGGGUAGCCGGACUGAGAGGUUGAACGGCCACACGGGAACUGAGACACGGUCCCGACAUCUACGGAUGGCAGCAGUAGGGAAUCUUGCGCAAUGGGCGAAAGCCUGACGCAGCGACACCGCGUGGGGGAUGAAGGCCUUCGGGUUGUAAACCCCUUUCAUGAGGGAAGAACACUGACCUAACCUCAGGAAGAAGCACCGGCUAACUCCGU